GACGAACGCUGGCGGCGUGCUUAACACAUGCAAGUCGAACGGAAAGGCCCUGCUUGCAGGGUACUCGAGUGGCGAACGGGUGAGUAACACGUGGGUGAUCUGCCCUGCACUUCGGGAUAAGCCUGGGAAACUGGGUCUAAUACCGGAUAGGAGCCAUUCUUAGUGUGAUGGUUGGAAAGUUUUUUCGGUGUAGGAUGAGCUCGCGGCCUAUCAGCUUGUUGGUGGGGUAAUGGCCUACCAAGGCGGCGACGGGUAGCCGGCCUGAGAGGGUGGACGGCCACAUUGGGACUGAGAUACGGCCCAGACUCCUACGGGAGGCAGCAGUGGGGAAUAUUGCACAAGGGGCGCAAGCCUGAUGCAGCGACGCCGCGUGGGGGAUGACGGCCUUCGGGUUGUAAACUCCUUUCGCUAGGGACGAAGCUUUUUGUGACGGUACCUAGAGAAGAAGCACCGGCUAACUACGUG
RNAcentral lists this ribosomal RNA (465 nucleotides) under uncultured bacterium. RNAcentral's name for it is "partial 16S ribosomal RNA". It matches the Rfam family "Bacterial small subunit ribosomal RNA", at positions 28 to 507 of the family's 1533-position model. The record is from RNAcentral.